UCCUAGGUAUCUGAUGUCCUGCCCUUGGC
This 29-nucleotide non-coding RNA is filed under the name Homo sapiens (human). Lineage: Eukaryota; Metazoa; Chordata; Mammalia; Primates; Hominidae. The record is from RNAcentral.